CUGAUGCGGGGACCGGCGUACGGGUGAGUAACGCGUAUCCAACCUGCCCUUUACUAUGGGACAGCCCGUCGAAAGGCGGAUUAAUACCGUAUGUUGUCAUGUUGAUGCAUAUUUUCAUGACCAAAGGCUUCGGCCGGUAAAGGAUGGGGAUGCGUCUGAUUAGCUUGCCGGCGGGGUAACGGCCCACCGGGGCGACGAUCAGUAGGGGUUCUGAGAGGAAGGUCCCCCACCAUUGGAACUGAGACACGGUCCAAACUCCUACGGAAGGCAGCAG
This 274-nucleotide ribosomal RNA is filed under the name uncultured bacterium. RNAcentral describes it as "partial 16S ribosomal RNA". It matches the Rfam family "Bacterial small subunit ribosomal RNA", at positions 83 to 354 of the family's 1533-position model. The record is from RNAcentral.